Molecule: ribosomal RNA, 429 nt
Filed under: Bacillota bacterium
Lineage: Bacteria; Bacillati; Bacillota
Description: Firmicutes bacterium partial 16S ribosomal RNA
Rfam family: Bacterial small subunit ribosomal RNA
Source: RNAcentral
UAGGGAAUCUUCGGCAAUGGACGGAAGUCUGACCGAGCAACGCCGCGUGAGUGAAGAAGGUCUUCGGUUCGUAAAGCUCUGUUGUUAGAGAAGAACGUUGGUAGGAGUGGAAAAUCUACCAAGUGACGGUAACUAACCAGAAAGGGACGGCUAACUACGUGCCAGCAGCCGCGGUAAUACGUAUGUCCCGAGCGUUGUCCGGAUUUAUUGGGCGUAAAGCGAGCGCAGGCGGUUCUUUAAGUCUGAAGUUAAAGGCAGUGGCUUAACCGUUGUAUGGUUUGGAAACUGGAGGACUUGAGUGCAGAAGGGUGUGGUGGAAUUCCAUAUGUUGCGGUGAAAUACGUAGUUAUAUGUAGGAACACAGGUGGCGAACGCGUCUCUCUGGUCUGUAACUUACGCUGAGGCUCAAAAGCGUGGGGAGCAAACAGG